Molecule: unclassified non-coding RNA, 302 nt
Filed under: plant metagenome
Description: partial contains 5.8S ribosomal RNA, internal transcribed spacer 2, and large subunit ribosomal RNA
Rfam family: 5.8S ribosomal RNA (bases 1-105)
Source: RNAcentral
GAAAUGCGAUAAGUAGUGUGAAUUGCAGAAUUCAGUGAAUCAUCGAAUCUUUGAACGCACAUUGCGCCCUUUGGUAUUCCUUAGGGCAUGCCUGUUCGAGCGUCAUUUAAACCUUCAAGCUCAGCUUGGUGAUGGGUGACUGUCCUCCCCUCGCGGGGGGACUCGCCUCAAAAACAUUGGCGGCCGGUACAUUGGCUUCGAGCGCAGCAGAAACGCGGUCUCGAGCCCGGUGGAUCGGCUCCCAUAAGCCUCUUCUUUUAUUUUGACCUCGGAUCAGGUAGGGAUACCCGCUGAACUUAAGC